Molecule: ribosomal RNA, 114 nt
Filed under: Danio rerio (zebrafish)
Lineage: Eukaryota; Metazoa; Chordata; Actinopteri; Cypriniformes; Danionidae
Source: RNAcentral
UGCCACAGCCAUAUCACCCUGCAGCCCAAGACUGGUUACUCACUGAAGCUAAGCAGGGCUGAGCCUGGUCAGUACCUGGAUGGGAGACCACAUAGGACUAGGUUGCUGUUGGAA